Molecule: long non-coding RNA, 1842 nt
Organism: Chinchilla lanigera (long-tailed chinchilla)
Lineage: Eukaryota; Metazoa; Chordata; Mammalia; Rodentia; Chinchillidae
Source: Ensembl
UUCAUCAGCUCCCGGACCCCGGGUCCCCUUUGCGACGGGAAUGGCGAUGGUUAUGAUCCCACGAGUUCACUGUCGGGACUGAGGCAGGCUGGGAAUCCUGUCCCCACGUCCCGGAGCAGCGCAGUCAAUGCAGGCCGCUGCUGGUGUGGGGAGGACACAGGAAAGCUCGCUGUGCUGCAGGUGCGACAGGCGCGGGGUCAGUCGGCUCAGGGGCUGAAUCGAGACCUCCUUGGGUGCCCAGAGCUCCCGUUGGACAGGUGGGGAGGGAGCCCGCGAGUCACUCCUGCGGCACGCGCACGCCUCGGCAGAAGGGCACACAGAGCUGUCCCGUGCGCUGAGUCCGGACGCCGCCGGAGCCCGCGCGGAGGGGAGGAAGCGGACCGCGUCCGCCAGGACCAUCACCAUCCGGCCGUCCGGGAUCCUCACCGGCUGGUGGUUAAGAGACAGUGCGGUCGGUCAUGAGUCACCAGGCAAGAGGGUUUGACAGGGGGCAGCGUGGAUGACCACACCACAGCACGGCUGAACAGAACUCUGUGUGAGGCUGCACAGCCUCCCUGCACUGCGACUGAGGCUGCAGCCAUGACCAACACUCAGGGAGAGUUCCACAACCGCUCCGCGUGCAGCCUGCCAGUGUUCAGAAGCGAGGACGCCGUAUCCACACUCACAGAGCAAAAUACCUUGGAGAGCUGAUAUAACAUAACUAAGAGUGCUUGGGGACAUUUUGUUUCAUGUACUUCAAUAAAAUGAUGAUAUUGCUCUGAUUUCUUGUUCUGGUACAACUUGUGUCUUUUCAACUAUAGACAAAGGAAAUUAACAUGCUUUUGGAAAGAAAAAUUAUAUACUGAGCUCUCUUACUCAGUUUACAAGCCUGGAGCCUCUAGGGCUUAGCAGAAAGACGUUUACAGAGAUUGUAAUGUUCGGCUGUGGAUCAUCGAUUAACAAAUCCACUGAGUUUUCCACCUGCAUUACCAGAGGAUAAUAAAAAUACAUCACCUCUCCCCUAAUACACCCAGUGACCCGACAGACUCAUUUAUAAAUGCACCACAGAGGCCCCUGCUUUCCAAACACACAUAACUAUCACGUCACUGCAAACAGAAGUGUCCCAGGUUAUGAUGACCCGCAGAAAAGCCUUCUUAAAGAUGUCAAGGGAUUCUUCAGAUCUGAGAACUGAGAAUCCACUCGAGCUGUUCUGAGAUUCUUUCUCAUUAAGAGAAUUACUUCUGUUACAUGGAAUCACCACAUAUACUAUCUUAAAUCUACUGUACAAUAUAACCAUGCUCAUCUAUGGAAUUCCAGACAGGAAAACUUUCACCGGAAUGUGUGGAUUUAUUUACUGGGUUACUCAUUCUGUUAACCAACGUGUACAUGUUCAGACCCCCUUACUUUACCCAUGAUCUUUUACAGACUGAUCGAACCCAGGGUUCCACGUGAUAUACCACAUGAUUCCUUAAGCUCUGCUUCCUUCUUGAUGACCUGAAUAUUCGUCAAGAGUCAGAUCGUUGUAGACUGUGCCUAUCUCACGAAUGUCCUUAUGCCUCCGGCGUAAGUAGACUGCAGGUAUGGGUCCCACUCCGUGCUGCUCUGGCAGAACCAACAGGCAGUCCUGGUACCCGGCAGCCUGGCACUGUGGCCCAGCUUCCAUCGCCUGACCUGAGUGGUGCUAGUCAAGUCUCCCGGGUGCAGCUGCUCUUUGCUGCAGUACUCUUUAGAAAGAGGUCACCAAGUGCCAUCCCCUCCCCAAGCGGGGAGUUAAGCUCCACCUCCCUGGAGCAGGCAGCGACACAGAUGACUUUACAUUUCAUAGAUGAAGCGAUUUGAAGUCUGGUCCUGUCCAGUUCACAC